AUGGUAAAAUUUGAGCAUGAGGAUCAAGAAAUCAUAGUCCACGGGGAAGAUGAACAAUCCAUUUAUCGCGACCCAUCAGUUCCAUGCCUCGAAGCAAGAGAAGGAAGCGAGCACAUAGUUUAUCAGGCCUUUGAAGUUGUGGUGGCAGACCAGUAUGAAGAAGGAAACCCUUGCCCUCAACCCUUCCUUUCUAAUGCCUCAAUCAUGGUGGCUAAAGAAAUGAUCCGACAGGGCUUCAAACUAGGGAAAGGACUUGGGAAAUCCCUGCAAGGAAUAUCUGAACCAGUUACCCUGCCCGCCACUGAGAAGUUUUUCGGGGUAGGCUUCCAACCUACUCCUGAUGAUAUAAAAUGGGCGGACGACAGGAAGAAUGAUGGAUGGGUUUUGCCUCAACCACUGCCACAUCUGUACGAGACCUUUGUCAAGCCAAAGGCUCAAGCACCGCUGAGGUGCUUAGCUACUCUAGGUUGGGGGGUAGGCCCUGGGGGAGAAGUUAUAGACACCUUUCCAUACUUUGUAUCUGGAGUACUUCAUUUAAUUUCUUCUGCAGUAUUGGGCUUUGGCGGCAUUUAUCAUGCACUUCUGGGACCUGAGACACUUGAAGAAUCUUUUCCCUUCUUUGGUUAUGUCUGGAAAGAUCGAAAUAAAAUGACCACAAUUUUAGGUAUUCACUUAAUCUUGUUAGGUCUAGGUGCUUUUCUUCUAGUAUUCAAGGCUCUUUAUUUUGGGGGCGUAUAUGAUACCUGGGCUCCGGGAGGGGGAGAUGUAAGAAAAAUUACCAACUUGACCCUUAGCCCGAGUAUCAUAUUUGGUUAUUUACUAAAAUCCCCUUUUGGAGGGUAAGGAUGGAUUGUUAGUGUGGACGAUUUAGAAGAUAUAAUCGGAGGACAUGUAUGGUUAGGUUCCAUUUGUAUACUUGGUGGAAUCUGGCAUAUCUUAACCAAACCCUUCGCAUGGGCUCGACGCGCACUUGUAUGGUCUGGAGAGGCUUUACUUAUCUUAGUAGUUUUAGGGGGCUUUUAGCCGUCUUUCAUUGCUUGUUGUUUUGUCUGGUUCAAUAAUACCGCUUAUCCUAGUGAAUUUUACGGACCUACUGGACCAGAAGCUUCUCAAGCUCAAGCAUUUACUUUUCUAGUUAGAGACCAACGUCUUGGGGCUAACGUGGGAUCCGCUCAAGGACCUACUGGUUUAGGUAAAUAUCUAAUGCGUUCCCCGACCGGAGAAGUCAUUUUUGGAGGAGAAACUAUGCGUUUUUGGGAUCUGCGUGCUCCAUGGUUAGAGCCUCUAAGGGGUCCAAAUGGGUUAGACUUGAGUAGGUUGAAAAAAGACAUACAACCUUGGCAGGAACGGCGUUCCGCAGAAUAUAUGACUCAUGCUCCUUUAGGUUCUUUAAAUUCCGUGGGUGGUGUAGCUACCGAGAUCAAUGCAGUCAAUUAUGUCUCUCCUAGAAGUUGGUUAGCUACCUCUCAUUUUGUUCUAGGAUUCUUCUUCUUCGUAGGUCAUUUGUGGCACGCGGGAAGGGCUCGUGCAGCUGCAGCAGGAUUUGAAAAAGGAAUUGAUCGUGACUUUGAACCUGUUCUUUCCAUGAACCCUCUUAAUUGAGAUGAGACAGGAGAUCCAAUGCUUGAAUGAAGUAAAAAUCACUUGGAUUCAAUCAUACAUCUUGGAAUCAGCCUAAGUAUUCCUUUUUUCUUUUUUUUUUCAAUUCAUUUUAUCUAACUUAUAUCUAAUCUAUUUUUCUGGCUUGGCUAGGUGGGAUAGCCGAGCCAUUCCCUUUUCUUUCGGAUAGCAGGUUGGGCAAAACCACUAAAGAAAAAAAUCUAUUCAAUUAGCAAAAAAGGAGAGAGAGGGAUUCGAACCCUCGAUAGUUCUUUGUUAAAACUAUACCGGUUUUCAAGACCGGGGCUAUCAACCGCUCAGCCAUCUCUCCGAAAGACUAUUUUUAUUUUAUUCCUCCGAAUAGAACAUGGCCAUAGGGGUGGAUACCCCCACUAUCUGUAGAAAGAUCUCAGGUGCGAAUCCACCGGUCGAUCUAUCUAUCCGUAUAUAGAUAUAUGAUCUAGCAUGCCAAUUUGUGAAAUAAAAAAUAAAAUUCCAUUUCCCCCCACCCCACUCCAUGUACGAAUAAAGUGCGAAAGGGGGAGUAGUAAUAAGUCAUAUGGAAUCAAUGGAUUCAUGAUAAAGUAAAAUCCCUCGAUGACAUAUUUUAUCACAAUUAAUAUUUUUUGGCUGAUAGAGGGAUCAAAUGGUAUAUAGUUCAUUUGUUGGUAGCUUGGAGGAUUAAAAGCAUGACUCUUGCUUUCCAAUUGGCUGUUUUUGCAUUAAUUGCUACUUCAUUAAUCUUAUUGAUUAGCGUACCCGUUGUAUUUGCUUCUCCUGAUGGCUGGUCAAGUAACAAAAAUGUUGUAU
This is an RNA transcript of Nicotiana attenuata, 2409 nucleotides long. It is a transcript of the gene named photosystem II CP43 reaction center protein-like, with no coding region annotated. Lineage: Eukaryota; Viridiplantae; Streptophyta; Magnoliopsida; Solanales; Solanaceae. The transcript has 2 exons. The record is from RefSeq and is a predicted model, not a curated record.